UUCUGUGUAGAGCUUUAGGUUCUCUGUCUGCUAAGUGGGGAUAAUGUGCCACAUGAUGUUAAUAAGGUCCAAAUGAGUGGGUAUCUGUAAGGACUUGGAACACACUCCGGCAGAGGAAUCAGCACUAACGUUAGCUGUCAUUAUAAUUACAUCCAGAUGCUAUCAAUCUAGGCUGUAAAAGAAGCAGACUUCAUACUGAGGUCCAGUGCAGGCGGCAGAGAGAGGCUGGGGUUUGGGAAGGAAGGAGCUAGGGAAAGGAUCCUACCCCAGACUUCUUCAGUCUUCUUGAGAGAGCUCAGUGCAAGUUUGCCAUGGUCCAGAACUGGCUGGCUGGGCACAGCUCUGAAAACUAUGACUCUAACCGUGGAAAGAGUGUUUCUGUAACCCCCAUGCCUUACAAGUCUAGUCUUGACAAGCUGGAGUAGCCAGAGCCCAGGAAAUGUUGGAAAACAGAUUUUGGAGGCACAGAGCCAGCUCCAAGAAUGUGCUGGGAACCUCCAUUACCGUGGAAACCCAUGUUUCAACAGCUCUCCAAGGAAGAAAAUGCUAUUCCAGCCUGGAAGGACUGGACCUCUGGGGUCUCCUGCGUGAGCACCAGAGCCUGCAUUUCAAAUCAGCCACAAGAAUGGGCCUAGACAUUCAGGCAAUGAGACUUCCUAAGCCAGCUGCUGAGGGACAAGAGGAGGCAUCCGUCAGAGACCCUCAGAGGAUGCCCCACACGCUCAUCUGCAUGAAGGAGACAGGAGACUCAGAGACAUACAGCAUCUGCAUUUUAAUUGCUAUUUGCUGAAGUCCACCCCUGGCUGUAAGGAAUGCUCCCCAUUCCCAUAGGACUUUACAUUGUGCAAAUCAGCAGGAACUGGCAGUGGCGCCCUGUGAAAGGGCCACCUCAGAACCCGAGGAAGCACAGGGCCGCAAGCAGGGGAUGGAAACUCUGGAGGGUCACAUUCUCUGGGAAGACCACACACAGUCCAACACCGCGCUCAGGGGGCAGACCAACCGCCUCGCCAUCUGAUCCCCGCCUCGCAAAGGACCAGUGUGGUCGAGAGGAUAAAAAUCAGCACUCAAAGAGAAGGGGAACGAGGAAUAGCUGUUGCCCCUGGGCCGUGCAAGUCCCUAAGCACAAACCUGUUUCUAACAGUCAGUAAAAUUCCAGGCAGUGGUGGUGCACGCCUUUAAUCCCAGCACUCGGGAGGCCUGAAGCAGGUAGCGGCUGGCUCAGAGGUCAAUAUCAAUGAACCCACUCAUUCCUGGCCACUAUCACCUCCUCGGACCUCAUUACUCAUAUGACCCUCGGAACUACCUUCUGUGGAUGAAAAACAAUCCCUGAUGCCACCUCCUGCCACACCCAGCUUGCUCCCCACUCAAUUCUUGUCCUGAAACCUCUGCAGUAGCCACUUCCUAUGAUUUCUCCACCUCCUGUCUUCCGUCCUACAACCUGCAGCCCGUAAGGCCACAGGACUCAUCAUCUCACCCUUCAGCUAAGAGAUUUUAGUCACAGCAGCACCCGGCUAAGGUGAGAUCCAGAAUGUCUUUCAGGCUCAAUCCCCAAUCAAUGGGCUUCUAAUACAAAGAACUCUCGGGUUCCCAUCCUCUAUGGCCAGGGACCCACACCCUUAUCCUGCCCCGCCUUAUGCUCCUUACAGCUCUACAAGCUGAAGCCACGUGCUGAACCUGCUAACUUGCUGGGAUCAGCUCUGAACUUGUCAGGAGACGGAGAUCAUGAAAGGGUAUUGAAAGACCAAAAGAUAGCAGCGAUCGUUAACACUAUGUAGGCGCAGUAUAGCGGUAAGUUCCCUGAGGAGAUAGCUACCUCGCUGCAUUCUUUCCCGCCUUCCGGUUCCGGGUGGGUACGUGACCCUGCUCACAAUCUGCCUUCCCGCCUUCCCUGUUCUGGGUACGUGACUUAACUACGGCUUUGUUCAAACCACCCAAUCAGAACCCUGUAACUGCUUCUCGCUUCUGUAACCGCGCCUCCUGCUCCCGAGCCCUAUAAAAACCCGUCACCCUAACCGAGAGGCGCGCAAGUCCUCCGAUAGGCUUGGUCGCCCCGGGUACCCGUGUAUCAAAAUAAACCUCUUGCGGUUUGCAUCCGAAGGCUGGUCUCGCUGUUCCUUGGGAAGCGGGGUCUCCCCGUCUAGAUAGGCUCCAGGGAG
Long non-coding RNA from Meriones unguiculatus (Mongolian gerbil), 2156 nucleotides. RefSeq lists it as uncharacterized. The transcript has 3 exons. NCBI's taxonomy places the organism in Eukaryota, Metazoa, Chordata, Mammalia, Rodentia, Muridae. The record is from RefSeq and is a predicted model, not a curated record.